Molecule: non-coding RNA, 454 nt
Organism: Vicia faba (fava bean)
Lineage: Eukaryota; Viridiplantae; Streptophyta; Magnoliopsida; Fabales; Fabaceae
Source: the annotation of a GenBank genome assembly
GAGCAACUUCUAUGGUGGCUGCGCUAUUCUUCUUCUUCUUCUUCUUGUUACUUUAUUGUUUCUUCUGAACCGUAAGAGCAGAUCCUUGUUGGCGUCCUCUUUGAUCUCCGAUUCUAGCAAUUUAAACCCAAGGGUUUACAAUUGCAGAACCUCAAACACUGUCACUGAUGCUGAUUUGAAGUUUUUAAUGGAUGAAAUUCUAAAUCAGAACCAUAAAUGGGAGGAUGUCAUAGAUAAAACAAAUCAUCAUCUAUGCUACAAAGCUAAAUCCACCAAACCUAAGAAUGGUCCCCUGAAAUAUUGGAGUAUGACUGUGUUCAAUGAUAUUUCCGCCGAGAUGCUAAGAAACUUCUACAUGGACAAUCACUACAGAAAGCAAUGGGAUAACACUGUGGUCGAACACAAUCAGCUGCAGCUGGAUGAAUCUGAUGGUUCUGAAGUUGGUCGUACAGUU